AACGAACGCUGGCGGCAGGCCUAACACAUGCAAGUCGAACGGUUGUAGCAAUACAGCCGUGGCGCACGGGUGAGUAACGCGUGGGAAUCUGCCCAGUAGUACGGAAUAACAGUUGGAAACGACUGACAAUACCGUAUACGCCCUUCGGGGGAAAGUUUUUCGCUAUUGGAUGAGCCCGCGUCAGAUUAGCUAGUUGGUGGGGUAAUGGCCUACCAAGGCGACGAUCUGUAGCUGUUCUGAGAGGAAGACCAGCCACACUGGAACGGAGACACGGUCCAGACUCCUACGGGAGGCAGCAGUGGGGGAUAUUGGACAAUGGGCGAAAGCCUGAUCCAGCCAUGCCGCGUGAGUGAUGAAGGCCUUAGGGUUGUAAAGCUCUUUUGGCGGGGAAGAUAAUGACGGUACCCGCAGAAUAAGUUCCGGCUAACUUCGUGCCAGCCGCCGCCGUAA
Molecule: ribosomal RNA, 450 nt
Filed under: uncultured bacterium
Lineage: Bacteria
Description: partial 16S ribosomal RNA
Rfam family: Bacterial small subunit ribosomal RNA
Source: RNAcentral